UUUACAAUGAAGAGUUUGAUCCUGGCUCAGGAUGAACGCUAGCUACAGGCUUAACACAUGCAAGUCGAGGGGCAGCAUUUUAGUUUGCUUGCAAACUGAAGAUGGCGACCGGCGCACGGGUGAGUAACACGUAUCCAACCUGCCGAUAACUCCGGAAUAGCCUUUCGAAAGAAAGAUUAAUACCGGAUGGCAUACGAAUAUCGCAUGAUAUUUUUAUUAAAGAAUUUCGGUUAUCGAUGGGGAUGCGUUCCAUUAGUUUGUUGGCGGGGUAACGGCCCACCAAGACUACGAUGGAUAGGGGUUCUGAGAGGAAGGUCCCCCACAUUGGAACUGAGACACGGUCCAAACUCCUACGGGAGGCAGCAGUGAGGAAUAUUGGUCAAUGGGCGCGAGCCUGAACCAGCCAAGUAGCGUGAAGGAUGAAGGCUCUAUGGGUCGUAAACUUCUUUUAUAUGGGAAUAAAGUUUUCCACGUGUGGAAUUUUGUAUGUACCAUAUGAAUAAGGAUCGGCUAACUCCGUGCCAGCAGCCGCGGUAAUACGGAGGAUCCGAGCGUUAUCCGGAUUUAUUGGGUUUAAAGGGAGCGUAGGUGGAUUGUUAAGUCAGUUGUGAAAGUUUGCGGCUCAACCGUAAAAUUGCAGUUGAAACUGGCAGUCUUGAGUACAGUAGAGGUGGGCGGAAUUCGUGGUGUAGCGGUGAAAUGCUUAGAUAUCACGAAGAACUCCGAUUGCGAAGGCAGCUCACUAGACUGUCACUGACACUGAUGCUCGAAAGUGUGGGUAUCAAACAGGAUUAGAUACCCUGGUAGUCCACACAGUAAACGAUGAAUACUCGCUGUUUGCGAUAUACAGUAAGCGGCCAAGCGAAAGCAUUAAGUAUUCCACCUGGGGAGUACGCCGGCAACGGUGAAACUCAAAGGAAUUGACGGGGGCCCGCACAAGCGGAGGAACAUGUGGUUUAAUUCGAUGAUACGCGAGGAACCUUACCCGGGCUUAAAUUGCAACAGAAUAUAUUGGAAACAGUAUAGCCGUAAGGCUGUUGUGAAGGUGCUGCAUGGUUGUCGUCAGCUCGUGCCGUGAGGUGUCGGCUUAAGUGCCAUAACGAGCGCAACCCUUAUCUUUAGUUACUAACAGGUUAUGCUGAGGACUCUAGAGAGACUGCCGUCGUAAGAUGUGAGGAAGGUGGGGAUGACGUCAAAUCAGCACGGCCCUUACGUCCGGGGCUACACACGUGUUACAAUGGGGGGUACAGAAGGCGGCUACCUGGUGACAGGAUGCUAAUCCCAAAAACCUCUCUCAGUUCGGAUCGAAGUCUGCAACCCGACUUCGUGAAGCUGGAUUCGCUAGUAAUCGCGCAUCAGCCAUGGCGCGGUGAAUACGUUCCCGGGCCUUGUACACACCGCCCGUCAAGCCAUGAAAGCCGGGGGUACCUGAAGUACGUAACCGCAAGGAGCGUCCUAGGGUAAAACUGGUAAUUGGGGCUAAGUCGUAACAAGGUAGCCGUACCGGAAGGUGCGGCUGGAACACCUCCUUUCUG
Molecule: ribosomal RNA, 1535 nt
Filed under: Bacteroides ovatus
Lineage: Bacteria; Pseudomonadati; Bacteroidota; Bacteroidia; Bacteroidales; Bacteroidaceae
Description: bacterial SSU rRNA
Rfam family: Bacterial small subunit ribosomal RNA
Source: RNAcentral